Molecule: ribosomal RNA, 253 nt
Filed under: uncultured prokaryote
Description: partial 16S ribosomal RNA
Rfam family: Bacterial small subunit ribosomal RNA
Source: RNAcentral
ACGUAGGUGGCAAGCGUUAUCCGGAAUUAUUGGGCGUAAAGCGCGCGCAGGUGGUUUCUUAAGUCUGAUGUGAAAGCCCACGGCUCAACCGUGGAGGGUCAUUGGAAACUGGCGAGCUUGAGUGCGGCAGAGGGGGGUGGAAUUCCGCGUGUAGCAGUGAAAUGCGUAGAUAUCGGGAGGAACAUCCGUGGCGAAGGCGGCUACCUGGACCAGCACUGACACUGAGGCACGAAAGCGUGGGGAGCAAACAGGA